This 227-nucleotide ribosomal RNA is filed under the name Mesorhizobium sp. RNAcentral describes it as "partial 16S ribosomal RNA". It matches the Rfam family "Bacterial small subunit ribosomal RNA", at positions 1171 to 1397 of the family's 1533-position model. Lineage: Bacteria; Pseudomonadati; Pseudomonadota; Alphaproteobacteria; Hyphomicrobiales; Phyllobacteriaceae. The record is from RNAcentral.
AGGUGGGGAUGACGUCAAGUCCUCAUGGCCCUUAUGGGUAGGGCUUCACACGUCAUACAAUGGUCGGAACAGAGGGUCGCCAAGCCGCGAGGUGGAGCCAAUCCCAGAAAACCGAUCGUAGUCCGGAUCGCACUCUGCAACUCGAGUGCGUGAAGCUGGAAUCGCUAGUAAUCGCGGAUCAGCAUGCCGCGGUGAAUACGUUCCCGGGUCUUGUACACACCGCCCGU